GGUUAAGCGACUAAGCGUACACGGUGGAUGCCCUGGCAGUCAGAGGCGAUGAAGGACGUGCUAAUCUGCGAUAAGCGUCGGUGAGGUGAUAUGAACCGUUAUAACCGGCGAUUUCCGAAUGGGGAAACCCAGUGUGUUUCGACACACUAUCAUUAACUGAAUCCAUAGGUUAAUGAGGCGAACCGGGGGAACUGAAACAUCUAAGUACCCCGAGGAAAAGAAAUCAACCGAGAUUCCCCCAGUAGCGGCGAGCGAACGGGGAGGAGCCCAGAGCCUGAAUCAGUGUGUGUGUUAGUGGAAGCGUCUGGAAAGGCGCGCGAUACAGGGUGACAGCCCCGUACACAAAAAUGCACACAUUGUGAGCUCGAUGAGUAGGGCGGGACACGUGGUAUCCUGUCUGAAUAUGGGGGGACCAUCCUCCAAGGCUAAAUACUCCUGACUGACCGAUAGUGAACCAGUACCGUGAGGGAAAGGCGAAAAGAACCCCGGCGAGGGGAGUGAAAAAGAACCUGAAACCGUGUACGUACAAGCAGUGGGAGCCUCUUAAUGGGGUGACUGCGUACCUUUUGUAUAAUGGGUCAGCGACUUAUAUUCUGUAGCAAGGUUAACCGAAUAGGGGAGCCGAAGGGAAACCGAGUCUUAACUGG
RNAcentral lists this ribosomal RNA (647 nucleotides) under Escherichia coli. Its description in RNAcentral is "partial 23S ribosomal RNA". It matches the Rfam family "Bacterial large subunit ribosomal RNA", at positions 1 to 691 of the family's 2925-position model. The record is from RNAcentral. Lineage: Bacteria; Pseudomonadati; Pseudomonadota; Gammaproteobacteria; Enterobacterales; Enterobacteriaceae.